UCAUUCAAUAAGCGGAGGAAAAGAAACUAACAAGGAUUCCCCUAGUAACGGCGAGUGAAGCGGGAAGAGCUCAAAUUUGAAAUCUGGUAGCCUUCGGCUGCCCGAGUUGUAAUCUAGAGAAGUGUUUUCCGUGCCGGCCCAUGUACAAGUCCCUUGGAACAGGGCGUCAUAGAGGGUGAGAAUCCCGUCCUUGACAUGGACCCCCGGUGCUUUGUGAUACACUUUCAACGAGUCGAGUUGUUUGGGAAUGCAGCUCAAAAUGGGUGGUGAAUUCCAUCUAAAGCUAAAUAUUGGCGAGAGACCGAUAGCGAACAAGUACCGUGAGGGAAAGAUGAAAAGCACUUUGGAAAGAGAGUUAAACAGUACGUGAAAUUGUUGAAAGGGAAACGAUUGAAGUCAGUCAUGCUCUUUGGAUUCAGCCGUUCUGCGGUGUAUUUCCAUUGAGUGGGGUCAACAUCAGUUUUGAUCGCUGGAUAAAGGCACUAGGAAGGUAGCACUCUCGGGUGAACUUAUAGCCUAGCGUCAUAUACAGUGAUUGGGACUGAGGAACGCAGCAUGCCUUUAUGGCCGGGAUUCGUCCACGUACAUGCUUAGGAUG
RNAcentral lists this ribosomal RNA (598 nucleotides) under Naganishia uzbekistanensis. RNAcentral's name for it is "eukaryotic LSU rRNA". It matches the Rfam family "Eukaryotic large subunit ribosomal RNA", at positions 38 to 625 of the family's 3401-position model. The record is from RNAcentral. Lineage: Eukaryota; Fungi; Basidiomycota; Tremellomycetes; Filobasidiales; Filobasidiaceae.